GAUGAACGCUGGCGGCGUGCUUAACACAUGCAAGUCGAACGGAGUUAUCAUUUUUGAAGCGAUUAGCUUGCUAAGAGUGGAAAAGUUGAUAACUUAGUGGCGGACGGGUGAGUAACGCGUGGGUAACCUGCCUUACACAGGGGGAUAACACUUAGAAAUAGGUGCUAAUACCGCAUAAGCGCACAGUCCCGCAUGGGACAGAGUGAAAAACAUUAGUGGUGUAAGAUGGACCCGCGUCUGAUUAGCUGGUUGGCGGGGUAACGGCCCACCAAGGCGACGAUCAGUAGCCGGCCUGAGAGGGUGGACGGCCACAUUGGGACUGAGACACGGCCCAA
Molecule: ribosomal RNA, 335 nt
Filed under: uncultured bacterium
Lineage: Bacteria
Description: bacterial SSU rRNA
Rfam family: Bacterial small subunit ribosomal RNA
Source: RNAcentral